Molecule: non-coding RNA, 171 nt
Organism: Podarcis lilfordi (Lilford's wall lizard)
Lineage: Eukaryota; Metazoa; Chordata; Lepidosauria; Squamata; Lacertidae
Source: the annotation of a GenBank genome assembly
UACUGGGAGCCAAUGUAGGUCUUUCAGGACCUAAGGUAGGCUCAGGAAGAACAGAAACCUCCCAUGGAGCAGAAGGGCAAAAGCUUGCUUGAUCUUAAUUCUCAGUAUGAAUACAAACCAUGAAAGGGGGGGCCUCAGGAUGCUCCCGACUUUUUGGGUGUGAAGCUGGAG